This 3328-nucleotide small RNA is filed under the name Pongo abelii (Sumatran orangutan). Its description in RNAcentral is "processed transcript". Lineage: Eukaryota; Metazoa; Chordata; Mammalia; Primates; Hominidae. The record is from RNAcentral.
CAGUUUCAGGGUCUCGCCGGCAGCCGCAGCCGGCGGGCGCGGAGCGGGCAGCGGGGCCCGGACCGCAGGCUCCUCUGGGGGCCCCGGAGUUGGGAAGCGGCGUCCGGGAGCCCCCGGAGGAGGAUGGGCUGCAGACACAGCAGGCUGAGCAGCUGCAAACCCCCGAAAAAGCUAUAACUGUCCAGCUCUGUGCAUCAGAGGAGGCUGAGCAGCACCAGAAGGAUAUAACCAGAAUUCUCCAGCAACAUGAGGAGGAAAAGAAGAAAUGGGCACAACAGGUGGAGAAGGAAAGGGAGCUAGAGCUUCGAGACAGACUGGAUGAGCAGCAAAGGAUCCUGGAAGGAAAGAAUGAAGAGGCCCUGCAAGUCCUCCGGGCCUCAUAUGAACAGGAGAAAGAAGCGCUUACCCACUCUUUCCAGGAGGCCAGUGCUACCCAGCAGGAGACCAUAGACAGACUGACCUCACAGCUGGAGGCUUUCCAGGCCAAAAUGAAGAGGGUGGAGGAGUCCAUUCUGAGCCGAAACUGUAAGAAACAUAUCCAGGAUUAUGGGAGCCCCAGCCCAUUCUGGGAGCAGGAGCUGGAGAGCUUACACUUUGUCAUCGAGAUGAAGAAUGAGCGUAUUCAUGAGCUGGACAAGCGGCUGAUCCUCAUGGAAACAGUGAAAGAGAAAAAUCUGAUAUUGGAGGAAAAAAUCACGACCCUGCAACAGGAGAAUGAGGACCUCCAUGUCCGAAGCCGCAACCAGGUGGUCCUGUCAAGGCAGCUCUCAGAAGACCUGCUUCUCACACGUGAGGCCCUGGAGAAGGAGGUGCAGCUGCGGCGACAGCUCCAGCAGGAGAAGGAGGAGCUGUUGUACCGGGUCCUUGGGGCCAAUGCCUCGCCCGCCUUCCCCCUGGCCCCUGUCACUCCCACUGAGGUCUCCUUCCUCGCCACAUAGGGUGCAGGGCCAGGGCCCACCACAACGCCUGAAGUCACAGCUCCUUCCAAGGUUUUUCUGGAGAAGACAGCAGGAGCCUCUCAGUUCUUUUCCAGGAAGGAACGAGGGUGGGAGCGAGAUGGGGAUCCUGGGUAUGUGCCCAGUGAGCCGUGGGGCCUUGGGUUACAUGGAAUCACCCACAGGGUUUUGGAGGCCCGAGAAACAUCUUCCCUUGAGUUGGCCAAGGGAAUAAGCAAGAGGAGACAUUUCCUCCCUCCCCCGGUACUCUGUCCCAAUCCGAGAACUUCCGAGGCUUUCCCAGGGGCAGCCUGUGUCACGUUGGCCAUUUGACAUAAAGGAGACAGCCCCUGGACCCAGCUUGUCAGCUCUGCUGCCAACUCGCUGACUUGUCAACUUCCUCUAGGUGUUUCCACUCCACACUGGCCUGCUCAGAGCCUCAGUUUACCCCUGCAUUAAAAUGGUGGGGGGACUGGUCAAAGGACUCUUAUGUCACUGCAGCGUCCCAUUCUAGGAUUGUCUGAAGGCCAGAGUAGGGGUUGGGGGGAGUGUGGACAAACCCUGCAAAUCAGAGUGGGGAAGGUGAGUGGUGGAGAGGGGCCUCUGAAGGCCCUUGGGGCUGACAGGGCCAGGCAGCCUCCCCAACUGAGGCACCAUUCCUGGGCCAGAGUCGGGUCCACCAAGGGACAGUAGCCAGAGCUCCUCUUCCUUUACCAGGCAAGGUGCAUCCCCUCAGCCCUCCUGGCCCUUCAGUCUUGGUGCCACCUGGGCACAGGGGCAAGCUUGGUGGUUCUGAGUCCAUUCAUCUGUCAGAGCUGGAACCUCAUCCCUGCACAGAUGAGGAAACCAAGGCAUGGAGCAGUUCCCAGAGUCAAAUCUAGAUCUCAUCUGUCAUCCAGGUCUUAUCCUUUGCUCUGUUUUUCUCUUCAGGCUCUGGAAAAUCAGAUUUGUGACUUAAUCUUCCGACUGAAUCUUCCUCUCCCUGGCCCUCACCCACUUAGUUUCUUUUUCACUCCUGCUCCCUGCCUUAACUCCUCCUCCCACUGCCCCUGAUCCCAGGCCCAGGCUUUUACAACCUGGCGCUCAGCUCCCCCAUCAGUGACAAGGGGUGGCUAGAGUAACUAACCUCAGCAGGCCGUCCAGUCCUGAUAGUCUGUGGAUUUCGGAUCCUUCUCAGGAAGCUUCAUGUCUAAUGGAGACUAUAAUUAUAACUCCUGUUCUGCAUAGAGCAUUUGCAUCAAAGGCUUUCCAUACCCCUCCCUCCCCUGGUCCUCAUAAGAUCCUUGAAGCAGGUUGCUACUCCUCAUUGGCAACACGGCAAACAGAUCACAGGAGUCAAAGGGCCUUGCUCAAGGUCCCCAGCUUCAGCCCCAGGCCCUAAGCCAGCGUCAGAACAGUCGAUCUGCAUUUUUUAUCAGUCAUUCUAUAGUGACAUCAUCCCAGACUGCCUUCUGUAUUCCCCUGUGUACAGUCUCCUUCUGUUUCUAGGUUUAGAAGUUAAGAGGUGACUGGUUUCUCCAUUUCCACAGCCAAACGGGGGAAGAGGUGAGGCUAGGGGAGUGCUGUGCUGAUUCUCCAGCCACAGUCAGACAGGUCACCCGGGAGCCUCAAGGAAAGCCCUGGAGGGAAUCACAUGUGUACUUUUUCAUGAAGCUUUUUGCAAAGCACAUCUGCGAUACACUAGUUUAUUGAACUAUGUCCAGGAGUAGGCGUGAUUGGUGGCCAAGUUAUUUGGGGACACCUAAACAGAUCAGCGACCUGAAUGACUUCUCAGAACCUUUAAUAUGCCAAUGUGUGUGGCAAACUUACAAGAAGGGAGCUAAGUAUCCAGCCUCUCCCAAACCUCUUUGAGCAAAGCUUCUGUACCUCCCACACCUCUCCUCACAGGCACAUCAGGCUGCAGAAUGCGCUUUAUAAAGCAUUGUUUUAGUCUGGGCGCGGUGGCUCACGCCUGUAAUCCCAGCACUUUGGGAGGCCGAGGAGGGUGGAUCACAAGGUCGGGAGAUCGAGACCAUCCUGGCUAACACGGUGAAACCCUGUCUCUACUAAAAAAAAUACAAAAAAUUAGCUUGGCAUGGUGGUGGGUGCCUGUAGUCCCAGCUACUUGCGAGGCUGAGGCUGGAAAAUGGUGUGAACCCGGGAGGCGGAGCUUGCAGUGAGCCAAGAUCGCACCACUGCACUCCAGCCUGGGUGACAGAGAGAGACUCCGUCUCAAAAAAAAAAAAAGAAAAAAGAAAGCAUUGUUUUAAUUGAGAGGGGCAGGGCUGGAGAAGGAGCAAGUUGUGGGGAGCCAGGCUUCCCUCAUGCAGCCUGUGGUGGAUGUGGGAAGGAGAUCAACUUCUCACUCUGGGACAGAUGAUGUAUGGAAACUAAAAAGAACAUGCAGCACCUUA